RNAcentral lists this ribosomal RNA (253 nucleotides) under uncultured bacterium. RNAcentral describes it as "partial 16S ribosomal RNA". It matches the Rfam family "Bacterial small subunit ribosomal RNA", at positions 524 to 776 of the family's 1533-position model. The record is from RNAcentral.
UACGGAGGGGGCAAGCGUUAUUCGGAAUUACUGGGCGUAAAGCGCACGUAGGCGGCCAGGCGUGUCGAAGGUGAAAGCCCUCGGCUCAACCGAGGAAUUGCCUUCGAAACUGCCCGGCUUGAGUCCGGGAGGGGGGAGCGGAAUUCCCAGUGUAGCGGUGAAAUGCGUAGAUACUGGGAGGAACACCGGUGGCGAAGGCGGCUCCCUGGACCGGUACUGACGCUGAGGUGCGAAAGCGUGGGUAGCAAACAGG